UACGUAGGGGGCUAGCGUUGUUCGGAUUUACUGGGCGUAAAGCGCACGUAGGCGGAUCGUUAAGUCAGGGGUGAAAUCCUGGAGCUCAACUCCAGGACUGCCUUUGAUACUGGCGAUCUUGAGUCCGGAAGAGGUGAGUGGAACUCCUAGUGUAGAGGUGGAAUUCGUAGAUAUUAGGAAGAACACCAGUGGCGAAGGCGGCUCACUGGUCCGGUACUGACGCUGAGGUGCGAAAGCGUGGGGAGCAAACAGG
This 253-nucleotide ribosomal RNA is filed under the name uncultured bacterium. RNAcentral's name for it is "partial 16S ribosomal RNA". It matches the Rfam family "Bacterial small subunit ribosomal RNA", at positions 524 to 776 of the family's 1533-position model. The record is from RNAcentral.